GACGAACGCUGGCGGCGUGCUUAACACAUGCAAGUCGAACGGUGAAGCGCCUUCCUUUUUGGUGGGUGUGGAUGAGUGGCGAACGGGUGAGUAACACGUGAGUAACCUGCCCCCUUCUUCUGGAUAAUCGCAUGAAAGUGUGGCUAAUACGGGAUAUUCUGGGUCUGUCGCAUGAUGGGUCUGGGAAAGAUAUUGUUUCGGUGGGGGAUGGGCUCGCGGCCUAUCAGCUUGUUGGUGGGGUGAUGGCCUACCAAGGCGGUGACGGGUAGCCGGCCUGAGAGGGUGGACGGUCACACGGGGACUGAGACACGGCCCAGACUCCUACGGGAGGCAGCAGUGGGGAAUAUUGCACAAUGGGCGCAAGCCUGAUGCAGCGACGCCGCGUGAGGGAUGGAGGCCUUCGGGUUGUGAACCUCUUUCGCCAGUGAAGCAGGCCUGCCUCGUUUGUGGGUGGGUUGACGGUAGCUGGAUAAGAAGCGCCGGCUAACUACGUG
Molecule: ribosomal RNA, 494 nt
Filed under: uncultured bacterium
Lineage: Bacteria
Description: partial 16S ribosomal RNA
Rfam family: Bacterial small subunit ribosomal RNA
Source: RNAcentral